This 465-nucleotide ribosomal RNA is filed under the name Lasiomma latipenne. Its description in RNAcentral is "partial 16S ribosomal RNA". It matches the Rfam family "Bacterial large subunit ribosomal RNA", at positions 1922 to 2596 of the family's 2925-position model. The record is from RNAcentral. Lineage: Eukaryota; Metazoa; Arthropoda; Insecta; Diptera; Anthomyiidae.
UUUAAAUGGCCGCAGUAUACUAACUGUGCAAAGGUAGCAUAAUCAUUAGUCUUUUAAUUGAAGGCUGGUAUGAAUGGUUGGACGAGAUAUUAACUGUUUCAUAAAAAUUUAAAUUAGAAUUUUAUUUUUUAGUCAAAAAGCUAAAAUAUAUUUAAAAGACGAGAAGACCCUAUAAAUCUUUAUAUUUAAAUUAUUAUAAUUGUGAAGAUAUAUUUUGUUAUAUUAAUUAAUAAUAUUUUAUUGGGGUGAUAUUAAAAUUUAAUAAACUUUUAUUUAUUUUAAUCAUUAAUUUAUGAAUAAUUGAUCCGUUAAUAACGAUUAAAAAACUAAGUUACUUUAGGGAUAACAGCGUAAUUUUUUUGGAGAGUUCAUAUCGAUAAAAAAGAUUGCGACCUCGAUGUUGGAUUAAGAAAUAAUUUUAGGUGUAGCCGCUUAAAUGUUAAGUCUGUUCGACUUUUAAAUUCU